This is a regulatory RNA element of Paenibacillus sp. FSL H7-0357, 171 nucleotides long. It matches the Rfam family "PyrR binding site". From Rfam's summary of the family: This family represents the PyrR binding site and terminator structure. The record is from Rfam. NCBI's taxonomy places the organism in Bacteria, Bacillati, Bacillota, Bacilli, Caryophanales, Paenibacillaceae.
UGCGCCUUUAAUUCAGUCCCGUGAGGCUGGCAAGGUAACGUGAAUCGAGGUUCGCGACUUAAGGAAGGAAUCCGUAUGAGUACGGAGGGCCUUUUUAUGCGCGCGGACACGCCAUCUUUUUGAAUCUGCGGAUUUCACUCCUUGCCUGCUUUGGGCAAGGAGUUUUUUGAU